UACGGAGGGUGCAAGCGUUACCCGGAAUCACUGGGCGUAAAGGGCGUGUAGGCGGCUCGUUCAGUCUGGUUUUAAAGACCGAAGCUCAACUUCGGGCAUGGACUGGAUACUGGCGAGCUAGACGGAUGGAGAGGUCACUGGAAUUCUUGGUGUAGCGGUGGAAUGCGUAGAUACCAAGAGGAACACCGAUGGCGAAGGCAGGUGACUGGACAUUUGGGUGACGCUGAGGCGGCGAAAAGUGGUGGGGAGCGAACCGG
RNAcentral lists this ribosomal RNA (257 nucleotides) under uncultured bacterium. Its description in RNAcentral is "partial 16S ribosomal RNA". It matches the Rfam family "Bacterial small subunit ribosomal RNA", at positions 524 to 776 of the family's 1533-position model. The record is from RNAcentral.